GUCGAGCGAAUGGAUUAAGAGCUUGCUCUUAUGAAGUUAGCGGCGGACGGGUGAGUAACACGUGGGUAACCUACCCAUAAGACUGGGAUAACUCCGGGAAACCGGGGCUAAUACCGGAUAAUAUUUUGAACUGCAUAGUUCGAAAUUGAAAGGCGGCUUCGGCUGUCACUUAUGGAUGGACCCGCGUCGCAUUAGCUAGUUGGUGAGGUAACGGCUCACCAAGGCGACGAUGCGUAGCCGACCUGAGAGGGUGAUCGGCCACACUGGGACUGAGACACGGCCCAGACUCCUACGGGAGGCAGCAGUAGGGAAUCUUCCGCAAUGGACGAAAGUCUGACGGAGCAACGCCGCGUGAGUGAUGAAGGCUUUCGGGUCGUAAAACUCUGUUGUUAGGGAAGAACAAGUGCUAGUUGAAUAAGCUGGCACCUUGACGGUACCUAACCAGAAAGCCACGGCUAACUACGUGCCAGCAGCCGCGGUAAUACGUAGGUGGCAAGCGUUAUCCGGAAUUAUUGGGCGUAAAGCGCGCGCAGGUGGUUUCUUAAGUCUGAUGUGAAAGCCCACGGCUCAACCGUGGAGGGUCAUUGGAAACUGGGAGACUUGAGUGCAGAAGAGGAAAGUGGAAUUCCAUGUGUAGCGGUGAAAUGCGUAGAGAUAUGGAGGAACACCAGUGGCGAAGGCGACUUUCUGGUCUGUAACUGACACUGAGGCGCGAA
RNAcentral lists this ribosomal RNA (716 nucleotides) under Bacillus cereus. RNAcentral's name for it is "bacterial SSU rRNA". It matches the Rfam family "Bacterial small subunit ribosomal RNA", at positions 61 to 757 of the family's 1533-position model. The record is from RNAcentral. RNAcentral also lists the same sequence under 1 other name. Lineage: Bacteria; Bacillati; Bacillota; Bacilli; Caryophanales; Bacillaceae.